CAUGUUGAAACACCAGUUCCUGUAUGAUCAGUGAAGUUAAGCACUGUCGAGCCUGAUCAAUACCUUGAUGGGUGACUUCUUGGGAAUACCAGAUGUGGUAA
Non-coding RNA from Acanthosepion pharaonis, 101 nucleotides. The record is from the annotation of a GenBank genome assembly. Lineage: Eukaryota; Metazoa; Mollusca; Cephalopoda; Sepiida; Sepiidae.